This 501-nucleotide ribosomal RNA is filed under the name uncultured bacterium. RNAcentral describes it as "bacterial SSU rRNA". It matches the Rfam family "Bacterial small subunit ribosomal RNA", at positions 355 to 873 of the family's 1533-position model. The record is from RNAcentral.
UGGGGAAUAUUGGACAAUGGGCGCAAGCCUGAUCCAGCAAUGCCGCGUGAGUGAUGAAGGCCUUCGGGUUGUAAAGCUCUUUCGCACGCGACGAUGAUGACGGUAGCGUGAGAAGAAGCCCCGGCUAACUUCGUGCCAGCAGCCGCGGUAAUACGAAGGGGGCUAGCGUUGUUCGGAAUUACUGGGCGUAAAGGGCGCGUAGGCGGUGUGUCAAGUCAGGCGUGAAAGCCCCGGGCUCAACCUGGGAACCGCGCUUGAGACUGGCACGCUCGAGUUCGGGAGAGGAUGGUGGAAUUCCCAGUGUAGAGGUGAAAUUCGUAGAUAUUGGGAAGAACACCGAUGGCGAAGGCAGCCAUCUGGACCGACACUGACGCUGAGGCGCGAAAGCGUGGGGAGCAAACAGGAUUAGAUACCCUGGUAGUCCACGCCGUAAACGAUGAGUGCUAGACGUCGGGGCCCUUAGGGCUUCGGUGUCGCAGCUAACGCAUUAAGCACUCCGCC